GAUCAUUCCGCCCACAAAAGUAUCGAAUGCAGACUGGGUUUGAUGACCUCUCGGUUGAUUUGUUGUAGUUUUUUAUACUUUCAAAUCUAUUGCUCAGAACAUAAUUAGGAGCUUAAAUGCCAUAGAUAUCUGUGUUUUAUUUUAGAUUGGCUAUUAAUUAAUUGUCAGUGGUGUACUUUUCUCAGUCAUAAACACAUGUUUAUUCAUUUCUUUGAUU
Long non-coding RNA from Populus euphratica (Euphrates poplar), 217 nucleotides. RefSeq lists it as uncharacterized. The transcript is spliced from 2 exons. Lineage: Eukaryota; Viridiplantae; Streptophyta; Magnoliopsida; Malpighiales; Salicaceae. The record is from RefSeq and is a predicted model, not a curated record.